AUUGAACGUUGGCGGAAUGCUUUACACAUGCAAGUCGAACGGCAGCACGGACUUCGGUCUGGUGGCGAGUGGCGAACGGGUGAGUAAUGUAUCGGAACGUGCCCAGUCGUGGGGGAUAACGUAGUGAAAAUUACGCUAAUACCGCAUACGAUCUAUGGAUGAAAGCGGGGGAUCGCAAGACCUCGCGCGAUUGGAGCGGCCGAUAUCAGAUUAGGUAGUUGGUGGGGUAAAGGCCCACCAAGCCAACGAUCUGUAGCUGGUCUGAGAGGACGACCAGCCCAACUGGAACUGGGACACGGGCCAGACUCCGACGGGAGGCAGCAGUGUGGAAUUUUGGACCAUGGGCGAAAGCCUGAUCCAGCCAUUCCGCGUGCAGGAUGAAGGCCUUCGGGUUGUAAACUGCUUUUGUACAGAACGAAAAGGUUUCUACUAAUACUAGGAGCUCAUGACGGUACUGUAAGAAUAAGCACCGGCUAACUACGUGCCAGCCGCCGCCGUAA
Molecule: ribosomal RNA, 500 nt
Filed under: uncultured bacterium
Lineage: Bacteria
Description: partial 16S ribosomal RNA
Rfam family: Bacterial small subunit ribosomal RNA
Source: RNAcentral